GGAUUCCUUAAGUAAUUGCGAAUGAACAAGGACAUGCUUAGCUUGACAAUUGGAGCCUCUGGCUUCGACUUGUAUUUUUGAAAUGUAUUACCAACAGAGGUGCAGGUGUCAGCCUAUUGAAAGAAAGCGUCAAUGAGGGUGAGAAUCCUGUUUGUCAUGUGCAAUCCUCUGUGCACGGUGUAUGUUUGCUGAGUCACACUCCUUGGCAUUGGAAUGCAAAGUGGGUGGUAAGUUUCAUGUAAAGGUAAAUAUAGGAUUGAGACUGAUAGCACACAAGUACCAUGAGGGAAAUAUGAAAAGGACUUUGAAAAGAGAAUUAAAUGAGUUUGUAUUUGCUGAACAGAAAAUAAACAGAUUUGAUGUUGCUUGGUGAGAUUGUGGUGCUUGCUUGACAAUAGGUUUUGAUUGUGGGUGUGAUGAUUCUUGCUUUGCUUGCCAGUUUCUAUUUGUACAUUUGAUUACCCUUGCACAUGAAUGGUAAUUUUCCUGCGGGGUUUGGAUUGCAUGUGUUUGUGAUGAUUUGUGUUUUGAUACAUGUGUCUGGUGCUUUUGUAAUUGCUCAUUUCUUGAAGCUGGGCCUACCCUACUAGAGCUUACAAGCCCUGGCACACAAUUGCUGGCAAAAUGCUUCUGCUUGACCCGUCUUGA
This 648-nucleotide ribosomal RNA is filed under the name Alexandrium tamarense. RNAcentral's name for it is "LSU rRNA". It matches the Rfam family "Eukaryotic large subunit ribosomal RNA", at positions 72 to 657 of the family's 3401-position model. Lineage: Eukaryota; Dinophyceae; Gonyaulacales; Pyrocystaceae. The record is from RNAcentral.